AGUACUACAAUGAUGAAAACAUUUUAUUCAUAUACAGUUAUCCCUGUCUGAAUGGGUAUUUUAAUAUAAUAGGUAACAUCCAUAUGUCGAUAAUAUAUGUUCUGAAAGUGUA
RNAcentral lists this small nucleolar RNA (112 nucleotides) under Huiozyma naganishii CBS 8797. RNAcentral's name for it is "Kazachstania naganishii CBS 8797 Small nucleolar RNA R38". It matches the Rfam family "Small nucleolar RNA R38". Rfam says of the family: snoR38 is a C/D box small nucleolar RNA conserved across yeast, human, Arabidopsis and rice. It is encoded in the intron of elongation factor-1 gamma in both pombe and cerevisiae. snoR38 guides the methylation of 2'-O-ribose sites in 28S rRNA. Lineage: Eukaryota; Fungi; Ascomycota; Saccharomycetes; Saccharomycetales; Saccharomycetaceae. The record is from Rfam by way of RNAcentral.